This 804-nucleotide ribosomal RNA is filed under the name uncultured Pelagibacteraceae bacterium. RNAcentral's name for it is "bacterial SSU rRNA". It matches the Rfam family "Bacterial small subunit ribosomal RNA", at positions 34 to 886 of the family's 1533-position model. The record is from RNAcentral. Lineage: Bacteria; Pseudomonadati; Pseudomonadota; Alphaproteobacteria; Candidatus Pelagibacterales; Candidatus Pelagibacteraceae.
CGCUGGCGGCACGCCUAACACAUGCAAGUCGAACGAAGUAGCAAUACUUAGUGGCAGACGGGUGAGUAACAUGUAGGUAUCUGCCCUUUGGCCUGGAAUAACACGAGGAAACUUGUGCUAAUACCGGAUAAGUCUUUACGGAGAAAGCUUUAUGCACCAUUGGAUGAGCCUGCACUUGAUUAGUUUGUUGGUGGGGUAAUGGCCUACCAAGACUUUGAUCAAUAGCUGAUUUGAGAGGAUGAUCAGCCACAUUGGGACUGAGACACGGCCCAAACUCCUACGGGAGGCAGCAGUGGGGAAUCUUGCACAAUGGAGGAAACUCUGAUGCAGCGAUGCCGCGUGAGUGAAGAAGGCCCUUGGGUUGUAAAGCUCUUUCGUCGGGGAAGAAAAUGACUGUACCCGAAUAAGAAGGUCCGGCUAACUUCGUGCCAGCAGCCGCGGUAAUACGAAGGGACCUAGCGUAGUUCGGAAUUACUGGGCUUAAAGAGUUCGUAGGUGGUUGAAAAAGUUGGUGGUGAAAUCCCAGAGCUUAACUCUGGAACUGCCAUCAAAACUUUUCAGCUAGAGUAUGAUAGAGGAAAGCAGAAUUUCUAGUGUAGAGGUGAAAUUCGUAGAUAUUAGAAAGAAUACCAAUUGCGAAGGCAGCUUUCUGGAUCAUUACUGACACUGAGGAACGAAAGCAUGGGUAGCGAAGAGGAUUAGAUACCCUCGUAGUCCAUGCCGUAAACGAUGUGUGUUAGACGUUGGAAAUUUAUUUUCAGUGUCGCAGCGAAAGCGAUAAACACACCGCCUGGGGAGUACGAC